UAACAACUUUUUUGGGGAGUUUUUGUUUUUGAGAAAGGCUACCAAAAUGUAACUUUGGUUGGCUUGGAAAUGGCUUUGUAGACCAAGCUGGCAUCAAAUAUGUAGCAAUUCCCUUGCCUCUGCUUCUAGAGUGUUGGAAUCCUGGGUAUAGAUCACCAUAGCUGUUUAACUUCUGAGGUGUGCACACAUCCUAAAUGUGUGAUUGUAAAUGCUGAAUGAUAUACUAUCAAAUAAACAAGCCAAAGAUGACUCAAUCAUUUCCUCAUUGUGGCAAUUUCAGGUUAUUUUCUAAUUUUAAAUUUCCUCACUCUCUAAUAAUACAUAUCAGCAAAGUAUAACAGAAAUGUAAGUCACACAUAUACUUUUCUAGCAGCUUCAUUAAAAUAAAAAUAAUAGUUAUAAUUUAAGUACAGACAGAUAAGCUACUUUAGUAAAGGGUACCAAUUUUUUGUUUCAGGAAGGGAGGAGUGUGUGGGAAGGGUUGAGCCCUGAGAUGUGGUACCUUAAUGCCUCCAAGGUGCCUAGGAACUGCACACUGUACUCUCCCCAAAGGACCUAACACCUCUCCUAAGUUAAGGAGCACAUGAGCAGUUCUGGGUUAAAUGAGCAGUGAAGUUCUGCCGCCAACUGUAUAUACAGUGGAGAGCAAUCAAGAAGCAAACCCAAUGCCAACCUCUGGUCUCCAAAUGCACACAUGCAAACCUGCAUUCAAGCACAUUGUACAUACGACAAUAUACAUUAAAAAUUUUUAUUUAUUUAUCUACUUAUUUUAUUUUUUUAUGCAUUAAAAAUUUUAAGUUGCUGACAGCUUAGAAAGAACAUCUCUAAACAGUUCAUCAGUGGGCACUCUUUCUCCUCUAUGAACUUGUUGAUGGCUAUUCUUGGUUGUCAACUACAUCUGGAUUAACUAAAAUUUAAAUGGCUGGGCACACCUGUGAGGGAUUUUUUUCUUAAUUAAAUCAUCUAACAUGGAAGAUCCAUUUCUAAUGAAGUUAUCUGAGAUGGGAAGGUCCACCUUUAAUCUGACCACACCUUCUGCUGGUAGCCUAUACAAGGGACACAGAAGAAGAAUGCUUGCCUACUGGCAUUAGAGCUUCAGGAUUUUGCUGUAUGCUGAAAACCAGCUGAGACCCAGCCAGCCAGCCAGCCAGCCAGCCAGCCAGCCAGCCUGUGGACUGAGAAACUAUAAGAUUCUUGGACUUUCUGUUGGUAGACAGCCAUUCUUACACUAGUUGGACCUCAACUUGUAAACCAUUCUAAUAAAUCUAAUAUUAUUUAAAUAGUUAUAUAAUUAUAUUAGAUUAUAUAUUAACAAGUAUACAUUAGUUAUAUAAUAUGUGCAUAUACACAUAUGUUUAAGUCUUAAGAUUUUGUUUUAAAUAAAAAAGCAUGCAUGAAACACAUGAGAAAUGUUUCUGUUUGACUUUGAUUUCUAUUUAUACUUAUCAUUUUCACCAAGUUAGAGGCUGCUUUACUUUCUGACAGUACACUCUCAUCACAUUUACUCAUUCACUUUGUGUGUGCACAUGCUCAGAAGCCUGAGGACACUGUGGGAGUCAGUUCUCUCCUUCCACCAAGUCGGUUGCAGUGUCUUAUCAAGCAUGAUGGCAAAUACCUGCUGAGCCUUAUCGCCAGCCCAGAAAGGACAGAUUCAAGACAGGCUACUUGAGCUUUAAAUGAACUUCACAAUAGAAAGUAAAACAGAAUUAAGAAAAUUAAAAUAUGAAUAAAAUGACAUAGUCAUUGGCUACUGAUUAUUUUUACAAUCUCUCCCUCCACCCUCUUUCCCUUUCCUCUCUCCAAACCACCCCACAUACCCCGCCUUGCACUUUUAAAUCCAUGGCCUCUUUUAUCACUACAUUCCUAAAAAUAAGCUGCUCGUCUGUAUGUUAUUUAAACACAUGUUUUCAGGGCUGACUCUUUGGCAUUGGACAAACCACUGAUGUGCUCUUUCCUGGAAAGGGUUUUUAUUGAUGUGAGAUGCUUCAUGGAUUUGCGUGUCAUCCAUGCACACAGCCAUGCGAGUCUCUGUACCGUUCCAGUUUUAGGAUAUGCACUGAGGAAGUGAGCUCAGGAAAAAUACUUUACUGGAAUUCUCUCUCCCUCAUCUCCUCUCUUCUUUCCUUCCUUCUUUUCCUUUCCUUCUGCAAUAGCUUGGUAUAGUGGCCCAUGUCUGUAAUCCCUCUGUAAUUCUAAAACUCAGAAAGGCUUAAAUGAGUUCUAGGGCUACCUGGGCUACAGUUAAGAUCUUUGUCAUCUUAAAACCAAACACCAUGAAAGAAAUAGACUUGAGCCAGGCAUGGAAGUAUAAUGCCAUAAAUUCCAGCACAGGAAGAGAGAGAGGCAGGAGGAUGGAAGCCAGCCUAGACGUCAUGGCAACACUGUCUCCAAGAGAAUGUUUGUUACAUGGACUGUAAACAACUAACCCUCUGCAAGCAAAGUGUGUUUCAUGCAUAGGAAUUUACAGCAAUCGAUGGGCACACUGACUACCAACUUUUCAGCUCAGAAUCUUCCUGACGACUAUGAACUCUCUUCCUGCUUCUAACUGUCUAUUCCAUGGAGUAACUGGCCAGGCACAGAGGACAAAUCAACCAUCCAGAGAACAGUUAUAUAAGAACAUGGUACUUCUUCAAUAAUGGAGUGACUGUGAACUGUUAAAAGGAUCCUUGGAGGAAAUGAAGUUUCAAGUCAGUGAGCUGCUCGGCAGACAGAUAUAUUACAAAACACCUGGUGAAAAUGUCAUAAUAAAACGGCAUUCUGUGCUCCGAGAAGGCCCAGUAGGCAAAGGUGUCUGCCUCCAAGCUGGACACCUGGAGUGAGAUUCAGUCUCCACAUGGCAGGAGAGCAUGGAAUCCAUCAUGUGUAUUCUAACCUCCCCACAAACACUGUGACAUGCUUCCCCUUGCCCUGCCUAAAAGGAAUGUAAUAAAAUUGAAAAGAAAAUGGCAUUUUAUUGGC
Molecule: non-coding RNA, 2958 nt
Organism: Rattus norvegicus (Norway rat)
Lineage: Eukaryota; Metazoa; Chordata; Mammalia; Rodentia; Muridae
Source: RefSeq, a predicted model, not a curated record